RNAcentral lists this ribosomal RNA (464 nucleotides) under uncultured bacterium. RNAcentral's name for it is "bacterial SSU rRNA". It matches the Rfam family "Bacterial small subunit ribosomal RNA", at positions 338 to 795 of the family's 1533-position model. The record is from RNAcentral.
CCUACGGGAGGCAGCAGUAGGGAAUCUUCCGCAAUGGGCGCAAGCCUGACGGAGCAACGCCGCGUGAGCGAUGAAGGUCUUCGGAUCGUAAAGCUCUGUUGCCAAGGAAGAACAGCAGAUAGAGGGAAUGCUAUUUGCGUGACGGUACUUGAGAAGAAAGCCCCGGCUAACUACGUGCCAGCAGCCGCGGUAAUACGUAGGGGGCAAGCGUUGUCCGGAAUUAUUGGGCGUAAAGCGCGCGCAGGCGGUUUAGUAAGUCUGAUGUGAAAGGCAAGGGCUCAACCCUUGUUAGCAUUGGAAACUGGUAGACUUGAGUGCAGCAGAGGAAAGUGGAAUUCCACGUGUAGCGGUGAAAUGCGUAGAGAUGUGGAGGAACACCAGUGGCGAAGGCGACUUUCUGGGCUGUAACUGACGCUGAGGCGCGAAAGCGUGGGGAGCAAACAGGAUUAGAUACCCGAGUAGUC